Molecule: long non-coding RNA, 355 nt
Filed under: Zostera marina
Lineage: Eukaryota; Viridiplantae; Streptophyta; Magnoliopsida; Alismatales; Zosteraceae
Description: long non-coding RNA (ZMAR_LNC002855)
Source: RNAcentral
CUUAAACAAAGUAGAAACAGAUGUUGUACCAUCGAUCUAACUAAAAAGGAUCAUCUAAAUCAGAUAGCAUCGAGUAGGCAUAGCAAGCUAAUCACCACCAUGAUUGAUGGUGUUAGCUUCCUCAGUGGGAACUUUUAACAUCUCGAUUUGAUAUUGUAAGUCUGCGAUCAGAACUCCUUGGUUUUUAAUACUUGAUUCCACCACUUUAAUCCUUGAUCUUGCCUCAUCGAUCUCUUUAAACAGGUGAGUAGUUAUCUCAGAUUGACUUACUUGCUUCUUCCCUGUGAUGAUAUCCAUCACCUUUUUCCAAUCUGGAUCAUAAGAAUCCAUUUUGACGAUAGUAGGAAUGGGUGAG